GCCCAGGCAUAGUGGUGCAUGCUUGUAAUCCCACUGGUUUGGAGGCUGAGGCAGGAGGAUCUUGAGUUCAGAGCCAGCCUCAGCAAAAGUGAGGCACUAAACAACUCAGCCAGAUCCUGUCUCUA
RNAcentral lists this small RNA (125 nucleotides) under Marmota monax (woodchuck). The record is from RNAcentral. Lineage: Eukaryota; Metazoa; Chordata; Mammalia; Rodentia; Sciuridae.